UGUGCCCCAUUACAACUUCUGAGAAGAGAGAAGGCUAAGAAGAGAUCUCUCCAUCAGUGAAGCGGCUGCCUCGGUCUCACCUUCUUCCCGUUCUGUCUCCUGCGCUUUUCAUUCCAUUUGGUCGCAGAAACCAAUUGCCCGGGAAGUCCAGUGGAAGUUUUCGUACAGGUUAUGACCAUUGAUCAUUAGCAUUGACAUGACGUAGAUCUUUCCAUCUGAAGGAAAUUCCAGAAGAUUAUUGUGGAUAUUAAAACAUAAUUGUCAAUUUAUAUGCAUUUACACAUGAAAUGGGGUGUCGUGGAAGGCCACUAUUUGACCUUAAUGAACUCCCAGCUGAAGAGGAAGAUGAGAAUGAUUGUGUCCUUUUCCAGCCCCGGAAGUCUGUUCCUAUUCCAAAUCCUCACACCUCAAGCUUUUUUCCACCAUCAGAAGGUUGCCAGCGGAUGGUUAAUAACCAUGCAUUCACACAUGCUUCUUCAGGUUCAGGUUUCCAGCCUUUUGUAAGGAACAAAGACCAACAUAACUCAAGGGAUGACUCCAAACAGAAGGCAGAUGAUUCAAAUGCCAACCAAGCAUCAACAUCAAUGGCUACAAGUCAUAGCGACGAUAACAAGUUUUCACUGUUGGUGUCUUCAGGUAAUCAGGAUGCUCAAGCUGUUGAAAGGGAAGAAGGGGAAUGGUCUGAUAUGGAGGGCACUGUUGAGGCAGUCGGAAGCAAUGUUAGCAGUAAGCAUGAGGAUGUUAAGACUGAACUUGCACAGAUGCAAAAAGCAACUGAAGAAAGUAAUCCUGUAUCUGUUAAGGCUGAUGAGAAUAGUUGCAAUGAUUCUAAUCUCCUUAGACCUAGCAAUAAUGAAGUUGGAGAUGCUUUUAAAGAUGCAAAAGUUCAUGACCCAUCAGGAUUAGAGAAUAACAGAACUGCAGACUGUAAUGCUAAAGGAAAUGUACUGGCAGAAGGCUUGGAAGAACCUUCUUCAAUUGCAAAGCCCAAAGAGGUCAAAGGAGUUGAAGCCAGUUAUGCAUUGAGAUUUGCAAAUAAUCCUGCAAAGAGGCCAAAGCUUGAUGAGCACAAGGAGGCAAUGUUAGGUAAGAAAAGAGGCAGGCAGACUGUUUUUAUUAAUGUGGAGGAUGCUAAGCAAGCUGGUCCUAUGAAAACUUCAACACCUAGGCGGCAAACUUCUUUUCCAACACCUAUUAUUACUCGUACUGUGAAAGACAUGCCUCGUGCUAGCCCUGCUGGUGUUGAGAGGGCUGUGGACAGGAGUCAGCCCAUAACCAAGGAUCAGAAGCAAUCAGACAUAGCAUGCAGUGAAGGAAGUAACCCUCUGGAGUCAAGUGACCAAAAGGCUGAAUCUAAUGGUGAUGUUAAUCCAGGGUCGAUAUCUCGCUCUAAGAAGAUGAACAACAAUGAGUUUUCUUCAGAAUCUUACUUACCACCCGUUCCAAGACAGGCUUCAUGGAAGCAGGCUGUAGACUCCAGGCAGUAUAAGAACCCAACCAUGUCAUCACGAAAACCUUGUGUCACAGGUCAGAGCAUUUCAGAUCAGAAAUUGGGAAACAAAAAACAUCUUCCUUCUAAGAAGCAGACUUCAAACAACACACAGUACCAAGAUACAUCAGUGGAGCGGCUUCUGAGGGAGGUGACGAAUGAGAAGUUCUGGCAUCAUCCAGAGGAGACGGAACUUCAGUGUGUGCCUGGACGCUUUGAGUCUGUUGAGGAGUAUGUGAGAGUUUUUGAGCCCUUGCUCUUCGAGGAAUGCCGAGCACAGCUUUACAGCACCUAUGAGGAGCUUACAGAGACUGUAGCCAGGGAUGCACAUAUAAUGGUUCGUGUAAAAACUGUGGAAAGACGGGAAAGAGGAUGGUAUGAUGUCAUAGUUCUUCCAGUGCAUGAUUGCAAAUGGACUUUCAAGGAAGGUGAUGUUGCUGUUGUAUCAACCCCUCGGCCUGGUACAGCCAGAUCUAAUAAGAGAAGUAUUAAUUCCGGUGCAAUUGAUGAUGAUGUUGAAUCGGAGGUUACUGGACGGGUUGUCGGUACUGUUAGGCGACAUAUACCUAUUGACACGCGUGAUCCUCCUGGGGCAAUUCUUCAUUUUUAUGUUGGGGAUUCAUAUGAUUCUAGUAGCAAGGUGGAUGAUGAUCAUAUUCUAAGGAAGCUUCAACCAAGGGGCAUUUGGUAUUUAACUGUUCUCGGGUCCCUUGCAACUACUCAGCGUGAAUACAUUGCUCUUCAUGCAUUUCGCCGUCUUAACUUGCAGAUGCAAACUGCUAUUCUGAAGCCUAGUCCAGAACACUUCCCCAAGUGCGAAGAGCAGCCCCCUGCCAUGCCUGACUGUUUCACCCAGAAUUUUGUUGAUCAUCUUCACAGGACUUUUAAUGGUCCUCAGUUGGCUGCUAUACAGUGGGCUGCAAUGCACACAGCUGCAGGCACAAGUGGUGGAGUGGCAAAAAGGCAAGAUCCAUGGCCUUUCACUCUUGUUCAAGGCCCUCCUGGAACUGGGAAGACACACACAGUGUGGGGCAUGUUAAAUGUUAUUCAUCUUGUCCAAUAUCAGCAUUACUACACUGCUUUGCUCAAGAAACUUGCUCCAGAGAGCUACAAGCAAACUAGCGAGAGUAAUUCUGAGUGUGUUGGUACCGGAUCAAUUGACGAAGUUUUGCAGUGUAUGGACCAGAACCUCUUCCGGACUCUGCCAAAGCUUUGCCCUAAGCCUAGAAUGCUUGUCUGUGCUCCUUCAAAUGCUGCCACAGACGAGCUGCUGGCACGUGUCCUUGACCGUGGCUUCAUCGAUGGGGAGAUGAAGGUCUACCGUCCUGAUGUUGCUCGUGUUGGAGUGGAUUCACAAACCCGUGGAGCUCAGGCAGUUUCUGUUGAGCGAAGAACUGAACAGCUUUUGCUUAAGUGUCGUGAUGAGAUUAUUUGCUGGUUGUAUCAGCUGAAAAGUCGUGAACAGCAGUUCUCACAAGAGAUUGCUCAUCUUCAGAGAGAACUUAACGUUGCAGCUGCAGCAGGUCGAUCCCAAGGAUCUGUUGGUGUUGAUCCUGAUGUUCUUGCUGCCCGGGAUCAUGGUCGUGAUGUACUACUUCAGAACCUUGCUGCAGCAGUAGAGGGCAGAGAUAAAGUUUUGGUCGAGAUGUCACGCCUUCUUAUUUUAGAAAGCAGGUUUCGUGCUGGAAGCAGCUUUAACAUGGAAGAUGCACGAUCCAGCCUUGAAGCAAGUUUUGCUAAUGAAGCUGAAAUUGUUUUCACUACAUUGUCAAGCAGUGGUCGCAAGUUAUUCUCUCGUCUCAGUCAUGGCUUUGAUAUGGUAGUUAUUGAUGAGGCAGCCCAGGCCAGUGAGGUAGCAGUCCUGCCUCCCCUCUCACUGGGUGCAGCAAGAUGUGUUCUGGUUGGUGAUCCCCAGCAACUCCCUGCAACGGUCAUUAGUAAAGCAGCUGGAACCUUGUUGUAUAGUAGAAGCCUUUUUGAGAGAUUUCAACAAGCAGGUUGCCCUACAAUGUUAUUGUCUGUGCAGUAUAGAAUGCACUCUCAGAUCCGUGAUUUUCCAUCUAGAUACUUCUAUCAAGGGCGUCUGAUGGACAGCGAGAGUGUAGCCAACCUUCCUGAUGAAAUGUACUACAAGGACCCCUUGUUGCAGCCUUACAUCUUUUAUGAUGUCAUGCAUGGACGGGAGUCCCACAGAGGGGGAUCAGUCUCGUACCAGAAUAUUCAUGAAGCACAGUUCUCUCUGCGGUUAUAUGAGCAUCUUCAGAAGUUUCUGAAAGCCGGUGGUGGCAAAAAAGUCACGGUUGGCAUAAUUACACCAUACAAGCUGCAGCUGAAGUGUCUCCAACGAGAAUUUGAGGAAGUUCUGAACUCUGAGGAUGGAAAGGAUAUCUACAUCAACACUGUCGAUGCAUUCCAGGGCCAGGAACGUGAUGUAAUUAUCAUGUCCUGUGUGCGUGCCUCAAAACAUAGUGUUGGAUUUGUUGCUGACAUCCGCCGCAUGAAUGUUGCCCUUACUCGAGCUAGGAGGGCAUUAUGGGUUGUGGGCAAUGCAAAUGCUCUCAUGCAGUCAGAUGACUGGGCUGCAUUGAUUGCAGAUGCUAAGGAAAGGAAAUGUUUCAUGGGCAUGGAUAGCAUCCCUAAAGAACUCUUGGUUCUGAAGGGGUCUGCCAGCACUCCAAAAGUUUCCUCGAAUAACAUGAGGAGCUCGAGAUCUGGUGGGAGGCAGAGACAUCUAGAGAUGCUCCCAGAGCCCAAGUCCGGCACACCAUCUGAAGACGAAGAGAAGGCAAACAUACAUCUUCCAAGGAAUGGUAGCUAUAGGAAUCUCAAGUAGAAUGUUCUCUGGAUGAUUUGGGGCGGUCGGGUGACAGGUCUCAAGAUGCUUUGCAGUAUGGCAUUGCUAAGAGGCAAAGUGAAUUCUUCUGGAUCUACUAGGAGAGAUUGACGUUAGCAAGCUUUCAUAUCUGGGGCUUUGUGCAAAUCCAUUUAAUCAACUGGCACUAACAUGUCAGUGAAGCUCAAUUCAUGUGGAAGCCACAAAGAGAUUACUCGGGCAUUUGUGCAGUGGAAAAGAAGGCCUUUCUGACUGCUGACAUGCCCCGAUAGAUUGGGGUGCUGACCUUGAAACACCUGCAGCUAUAAUAAUCAUGAGGAGGAAGGGCAGCCAGGAUUACUUGAGAACCAUCGUUAAAGAUGUCUCGGGUCUUGAGGAUGCUUGGAUUGAGGAGCUGCUGUGUGUUUUGGAAAGCUGACUGGGUGAGAAAUCAGAAGCUGCAAUAUUGGAAACAUUCAGCCAAGAGUAGUACUUUAUGCUCCAUGUUUGUGGGGACUUCUGUUCACAGGUUGUGUUUGGAGGGCAAGAUUUUGAAGAGUUCCCAUUUGGAUCAAAUGCCUAGCUCAACUUCAAGCGGCAGGAAGAGCUCCAGGAACUUUGAAGGCUUGAAGACUACUCAAAGGGCAGGCAAGAACUCCAUUAACUUCAGUAGAGCUUGCGUGGAGACCUAGACAUUUGACACCACUUGCUAGUUACUGUCAUACCUGCACCUAAGGCUUUAACUUCUUGUUUAUCUGUAUGUGUUUGAAACAGAGGCCAUGCCCCACAAAUUGUCGGGAUGGACUUAACAGAUGCGUCUGAUGUUAAUGGAUCCUUGGACUCAUCUUAUAGAGCGAUCUCACUGGCUUUCAGAAGGGUGAAUGCGCAAAAGAAGCCUCAAGAACAAUCGACAUUUGUGUACUUUGUUGAGGAUAUUGAAUUAAAUGUACGUUGCUUGGAAAGAGGCUAUCAGCACAUCACCUUAUUUUGUAACACAGAGUAACAUCCAUGGAAAAGAGUUUAGGGAAUUCUUGUGGAAAAGAAAGACGACUUGAGAAGAGACACAAAACCAAACAUGCAUUUUGACUUGUGAGAAAAGAAAUCUUUUAUAAAUUGGGCAUCUAAGACUCAUUUUUAGGCCGACUUUGGCAUAUAAAGGUGAGUGCACCUCCUUAUUUAAAAAUCUGUCGGUUAAAAAUUUUGUGCAGACAAGCCGCCCCACGGACGCAUUCCCGUUUGCAUACAAAGACAUAAAGUGGUGAAAAAGCAAGUGGCCGCCACCAACAACAAAUGAUGAAGAAAAAUGUCACUCUUUUUAUCUAAUUUACAGCCAGUCCCUCGAGUUAAUUUUUGAAUACCACAAGUUGCCUUCUCUUUAGGAUUCGUGUUCAUAUGUGACUGCAGUUUAAACUGGCCUUAACUACAGCAACCCCCUCAUCCUACAUCCCAACUUGGAUCCAUACUUAUUGACUGCAGAUGAAUAGGGCAUUUUAUGAAUUAUUUUGCAUAUUUUUCACCAAGUCAAAGGGAAAACAAGAACCUUAUCCAAGGCAUGUGAUGAAACGGGGAGGAAAGAGACACUGAUGAAGUUAUUGUUCCUCCCCUGUUCAUUAUCCAACGCAUUUGAUGAAAAAUGUUGGAAAGAAUCACUGAUGAAGAAGUAAUUGUUUCUUC
Non-coding RNA from Elaeis guineensis (African oil palm), 5975 nucleotides. Lineage: Eukaryota; Viridiplantae; Streptophyta; Magnoliopsida; Arecales; Arecaceae. The record is from RefSeq and is a predicted model, not a curated record.